Molecule: ribosomal RNA, 365 nt
Filed under: uncultured Erysipelothrix sp.
Lineage: Bacteria; Bacillati; Bacillota; Erysipelotrichia; Erysipelotrichales; Erysipelotrichaceae
Description: bacterial SSU rRNA
Rfam family: Bacterial small subunit ribosomal RNA
Source: RNAcentral
GUGGAGGUUAUCCGGGAGUACAGGUGGUGCAUGGUUGUCGUCAGCUCGUGUCGUGAGAUGUUGGUUAAGUCCCGCAACGAGCGCAACCCUUGUCUUUAGUUACCAUCAUUCAGUUGGGGACUCUAGAGAGACUGCCGGUGAUAAACCGGAGGAAGGUGGGGAUGACGUCAAAUCAUCAUGCCCCUUAUGGCCUGGGCUACAAACGUAAUACAAUGGCGUAUACAAAGGGAUGCGAAAGGGCGACCUGGAGCAAAACUCACAAAGUACGUCUCAGUUCAGAUUGGAGUCUGCAACUCGACUCCAUGAAGGCGGAAUCGCUAGUAAUCGCGGAUCAGCAUGCCGCGGUGAAUACGUUCUCGGGGUUU